RNAcentral lists this ribosomal RNA (174 nucleotides) under Charadrahyla taeniopus (porthole treefrog). RNAcentral's name for it is "partial 16S ribosomal RNA". The record is from RNAcentral. Lineage: Eukaryota; Metazoa; Chordata; Amphibia; Anura; Hylidae.
ACGUGAUCUGAGUUCAGACCGGAGUAAUCCAGGUCAGUUUCUAUCUAUAAAGGGCUUUUUCUAGUACGAAAGGACCGAAAAAGCACGGCCCAUGUAUUAUGCAAGCCGUACUCAUUAAUUUAUGAUUUAAACUUAAUAAACAAUUAACCUACAAAUAAGCCCUAAACCAGGGCA